This is a non-coding RNA of Pelobates cultripes (western spadefoot toad), 247 nucleotides long. The record is from the annotation of a GenBank genome assembly. NCBI's taxonomy places the organism in Eukaryota, Metazoa, Chordata, Amphibia, Anura, Pelobatidae.
CGGGUGACACAGUGACAGAGUGAGGGAGCGGGUGACACAGUGACAGAGUUAGGGAGGGAGUGACUAGUGACAGAGAGAGGGAUGGGGUGACUAGUGACAGUCACCCCCCCUCACUCUGUCACUAGUCACCCCUUCCCUCCCUCACUUUGCCACUAGUCAUCUCUUCCCUCCCUCACUCUGCCACUAGUCACCCAUUCCCUCACUCUGCCACUAGUCACCCAUUCCCUCACUCUGUCACUAGUCACCC